This 301-nucleotide ribosomal RNA is filed under the name uncultured bacterium. RNAcentral describes it as "partial 16S ribosomal RNA". It matches the Rfam family "Bacterial small subunit ribosomal RNA", at positions 509 to 807 of the family's 1533-position model. The record is from RNAcentral.
CAGCCGCCACGGUAAUACGUAGGGUGCAAGCGUUAAUCGGAAUUACUGGGCGUAAAGCGUGCGCAGGCGGUUUGUUAAGACAGAUGUGAAAUCCCCGGGCUCAACCUGGGAACUGCAUUUGUGACUGGCAAGCUAGAGUAUGGCAGAGGGGGGUGGAAUUCCGCGUGUAGCAGUGAAAUGCGUAGAUAUGCGGAGGAACACCGAUGGCGAAGGCAGCCCCCUGGGCCAAUACUGACGCUCAUGCACGAAAGCGUGGGGAGCAAACGGGAUUAGAUACCCGGGUAGUCCCUGUCUCUUAUAC